UAACUCCACAAUCUUUGCUUAAUUGAAGUGAAUCGGUUUGUAAAAGUGCAGAAAAAAAAAGAAAAAAAAACAGAAUGGAUUUGAAUCAUAAACAUUCAAACAUUAAAGGGAGAGGAAAGAGAAAGAGUUAAACAGAGGAGAGAGGAGAAAAAUGAGCUUCAGAUGAUGCCUGGAGCCCCCUCAGGGAGGAUGUGAUGUCAUCAGUAUGCGCCUGCCUCCUGUCAGAUUGGUGACAGGGGUCGUCCUUUAUGAGGAGUGGGAGAACGACAGCGUCUGGUUUUUCUCUCUGCGAUAUCUGGCCGUUUCACGCUUUCUGAAGCUGGGACGCCGCCAAACCUCCGUGUCCUCGGUUUCCUCUUCCACUCGCAGGAAUACGCAGAUGUGAGCUUCAACCGCUCUUUCAACAAAACAGAAUUUCUUCUCUCAGAAUUUCUCCGAAUCCCCGAAUGAACGUGAGCUGAAACGUGGCAGAAAUGCGGAAAGCCUUGAACUCGGAGUGUUCUGUCCUUCCCAGAGAGAGGUGAUAAAGAGUUGUUAUCCAAGAAAUCUAUCUCGAUUAGCGUGAUUAGCGCUGGCGUUUUUAUACACAGAUUGGGUUUAAUCUCGUGUAGCCCACGCGGCCGCUCGGGCCUGGCUCCGGUUAAGAAGAAAGCGGUGACGUCCUCGUACCAAACGCCGGGGAGUACGAGAUGCCAGGCAGAUCGAUUGGCUGGCAAACUUGGCACGAUGGCUAAAGGACAUGCCUUCCACGGUGAAAAGGCGUCCAGAAGGAUGAAGAAUGCAGUGUUAGGAAAGCAGCACAGCUCAUAACCACCUACAUGUUUUCCACGUACAAAGACUCCGAGGCCUGUUUGUUUUAAAACGUCUCCAUUUUUCCUUUACAGGCUUUUUAAAGAAUGUUUUAUUAUUUAUGAUUCUCAAUCCUCCGAGCAGUUUAUUAGAUGAUAAGAAGCUUUUAAACGUCGUUUUCUUCUUGAUGUCACACACCAGAUCGCUUUUUUAUCGUUUCCAGACGGAAUAUUUUAUUGUUCUUGUUAUUAUUAUUAUUUAAGACUAUUUGUUAAUCACACGUGCCCACCAGGUCGGCCGUAAAGAGAGAGAACGCCGUGGCAUGAUGAAAUGUGCUCGGCAUUAAAGCGCCGGCUCGUAACGGAUCGCAGCAUUUUUAUUCCCAUCGUUCCCGGUCAGACGCAGCAGCUUCGGCAUCGGAGCGUAUUAAAGUAUUUGCUUGAGCCUUGUUUAAUAACAAAGGCUUUCAUAAACAAUCACGUGUUCACGCAGGAGCUCGCCGGAUCCGUGGUAUGAGAGAUCGCCGGAUCAAAGCGGGUCUUAAAUUGUACAUUAAAGGAAUAUUUUAGCGAAAUAAUGAAGUGUGUGUUUUAAAUGUUAUGCUUUCUCUGUCAUUAGUUACGAAGCUAAUCCCUUUUCACCUCGGCUUCUCACGCCACAUUGUCCACUGCCAGUUCCUCGCUUUAGCCUAACUCUACCUUCACACUAGCGAGCGACAGGCGAUCGUUCUUUUUCUACGUACGUUUCCACGGCACGGAGCUGCGCUUUCAGCAACAAGCAACAUGUGACAUUUGUACUUUGUCUCUUGUGGGCGUGGCCUAUCCAGCUUUUUUUUUUAAUUCAAAAACUAGCUAUAAACAGCUUCUAAAGCUAUUUAGUUAAAAAAAAAUUAAAUAACGCACUAAUCGACGUGAACAUCAGCUGCUUGAUUUCUGUGUUACGAGCUCGGCUUCGUACUAGCUUCGUUCUCAGAUUAGAUUAGCAAAGCGAGCUAAUCGUACUAGCUAAGUAUCUGUGCUAGCUUUAAUUUUAUUCGUAACGUCUCUAUGCACAUUUUUGACAGGAUAAGAUGAAAACACGGUUAUAAGUUUUUCUUCCAUUUUUGCGGAAACGAAUUGCAGGUAGGAACUAAAGUUGUGAGCGGGGAACUGAAGAAACGUGACGCCGGAUCGCUCCGAGGAAUCGUUCGAGACGAUCGUUGGGAUUUGUCUCUUUACACUCGUAACCUGAGUUACCUAGACUUAAGAAAAUCAGUGCAAUUCCAGUGUAGCUUGAUGCUGACAAUGUGACACUGUGUCGCUCUUGUUCAUAGAAAAUCGAAAACGUGAUUGUCUGUCACUUUGUCUCUCUCUCACACACACACACACACACACACACUCCAUGCUCAAACAGAGCAACAGUUGGACCACACUCAGUAACUGAAUACCUACAGGUAGCAGCAGCAAGUGCUAACGUUGUCACGCUGCCUCAAAAUGACAGAGAGGAUGACUAGGUGUGUGAGCUCACACACACCCAAACACACACACACACACACACCCCUGAUACACAAGGUGCUAAAGCUUCAGCGUCUCACCUCAGAUGUGCUCUGACACGCCACCGAGACGCACUAAUGAUAUUACUGACCUGGUGUGAGUGGGUGAAGGUGUUGGUGUAGAAACAACUACACACACACCCACACACACACACACAGACACACACACACACACAGAGAGAGAGAGAGAGAGAGAGAGAGAGAGAAAAGAAUCCAUGUUUCUGAAUGGAUGUGAUCACAUUCUGCAAACAUAACAAGC
This is a long non-coding RNA of Pangasianodon hypophthalmus (striped catfish), 2579 nucleotides long. RefSeq lists it as uncharacterized. NCBI's taxonomy places the organism in Eukaryota, Metazoa, Chordata, Actinopteri, Siluriformes, Pangasiidae. The record is from RefSeq and is a predicted model, not a curated record. The transcript is spliced from 5 exons.